UGCUAUGAAUAUCAUCCUAUUCCCUGGUGGUGUUUGGGGAACCUCUUUUCCCUUCUCUCCCGGGUAGAUUCGCCUGCAGUGAGUGGGAGUUCUGUGGCUCCUGGGGUCAUCGGCUGAGUCCCUCUCCGGCUUCUCCUUCCUGACUGUGAAUUGCUGUGUGGCCACGCUUGGGUGUGUCUCUCUCCAUUCUCUGUUGCUCGUGGCAGCUGUCGCUUUGGAGUCAUGAUUCCAGUUGGAACUGAGAAGCAGAGAUGGGGUUUCACCAUGUUGGCCAGGGUGGUCUUGAACUCCUGACCUCAGGUGAUCCGCCCAUCUCGGUCUCCCAAAGUGCUGGGAUUACUGGUGUGAACCACUGCGCCCGGCCAACAUUUCACUUUCUAAAGCCACAUUUUUAAGGUACGCAGCCCACGCUUCAUGCCGGGCCUGGGAGGGGGUUCCUGGUUGUAAACCUGUCUCUGACCUCCC
This 465-nucleotide long non-coding RNA is filed under the name Homo sapiens (human). RNAcentral describes it as "non-protein coding lnc-PFKP-18:1". The record is from RNAcentral. Lineage: Eukaryota; Metazoa; Chordata; Mammalia; Primates; Hominidae.